CAGCAGCCGCGGUAAUACCGAGGGUGCGAGCGUUAAUCGGAUUUACUGGGCGUAAAGCGUGCGUAGGCGGCUUUUUAAGUCGGAUGUGAAAUCCCUGAGCUUAACUUAGGAAUUGCAUUCGAUACUGGGAAGCUAGAGUAUGGGAGAGGAUGGUAGAAUUCCAGGUGUAGCGGUGAAAUGCGUAGAGAUCUGGAGGAAUACCGAUGGCGAAGGCAGCCAUCUGGCCUAAUACUGACGCUGAGGUACGAAAGCAUGGGGAGCAAACAGGAUUAGAUACCCCGGUAGUCCCUGUCUCUUAUAA
RNAcentral lists this ribosomal RNA (301 nucleotides) under uncultured bacterium. RNAcentral describes it as "partial 16S ribosomal RNA". It matches the Rfam family "Bacterial small subunit ribosomal RNA", at positions 509 to 809 of the family's 1533-position model. The record is from RNAcentral.